RNAcentral lists this ribosomal RNA (116 nucleotides) under uncultured bacterium. RNAcentral describes it as "partial 16S ribosomal RNA". It matches the Rfam family "Bacterial small subunit ribosomal RNA", at positions 1369 to 1482 of the family's 1533-position model. The record is from RNAcentral.
CGUUCCCGGGUCUUGUACACACCGUCCGUCACACCACGAGAGUUUACAACACCCGAAGUCGGUGGGGUAACCCGCAAGGGAGCCAGCCGCCGAAGGUGGGGUAGAUGAUUGGGGUG